AGUCUUAUUCCAGUUGAGAAAUAAACACUAUUGAUUGGUGUCCAAAAUUGUUCGGUGUGGCUAACUUGUUGUCAUGCAGGUCAUGCUUCUAUCAUAGCAAAUGCAUUGCAGUGGUGAUAACAAGACCCAUAGUGCUU
This 137-nucleotide small nucleolar RNA is filed under the name Castor canadensis (American beaver). RNAcentral describes it as "Small nucleolar RNA SNORA1 (ENSCCNG00000005981.1)". Lineage: Eukaryota; Metazoa; Chordata; Mammalia; Rodentia; Castoridae. The record is from RNAcentral.